This is a long non-coding RNA of Episyrphus balteatus (marmalade hoverfly), 968 nucleotides long. RefSeq lists it as uncharacterized. NCBI's taxonomy places the organism in Eukaryota, Metazoa, Arthropoda, Insecta, Diptera, Syrphidae. The transcript has 3 exons. The record is from RefSeq and is a predicted model, not a curated record.
CUCAAACAGAUCUAAAAAGAAAUGACAUUACAGCAAAAUGCAAGAAUAGUGUUUUUGUUUACUGUCUGAUUUUUUUUUUUUAGAAUAAACGAAUAAACUAAAAGAAACUAUGGCCUUGGACAUUCAAUAAGAUUGCGAGUCUAUAAUUGAAAGUUUCAUUGCAUUGCAUCCGCAUAUGCCUGCAUUCACUAUGCCCAAAGAAUUCUUCCAUCAAAAGUACCUUACAAAAAAUAGGAGCACUGUUUUUGCAAGCAAUCAACAGAUCGGUUGGAAGAAAUUGAAAGAAUUCGUGUUCAGUUUGGACAAUUCAACUUAAGGCGAUGAUGCGAAAAGCAUAUUCUUGGAAAUCCUCAAAGAAAACGCAUUCAAGAAGUUUUUUUUGCAUCGGACAUUUACUUUGGAUUAGAAAAUCUUUUAAAUACAAAGUACUGUUGUCAAGUGUCAACCUUACCACGUCCAUGCACAUGAAGGGUCCAGAAGAAAAACGGCACAACAACAAUAAAUUAUGAGGUCUUGUAGUAUUUACUGAGCACUAUGUGAUGGCAUCCCUACUUUUAGAAAACAAAUUUAAACCUUGCUAAAAAAAAUUAAUAAAUGAUGUGCCUAAUCUUCUAAGUUGUAUUUGUGAACAAAAUUUUAAAUUGCGUUUUUCUCGGAAUGAGUUGUCAUGUAAUGGACUAGUGCUGUUUUUUCCUGUGGACACUUCACAACUUUCAUAAUAACAUGACAUUCUAAACUUCAACAAGAGAACUGGUUUUGGAAUUCAAAAGCAUUGAUAUUGGGGAUGCGGAUGCGAAUAUUCGCAAAAUCCCUAGUAUAGAUACUUGGGUUUUUAGCGUAGUAUAGUAUCUAUACUACUACAAGUGUGUCCCAGUGUAUUUAUAGACUUCUCCUCCUGUUAACCUUGAACUCGCUCAAUUUAAGCGAUAUCCACAUAUGAAUAUAUAAACAUAUCUACUGAGCACGCA